This is a long non-coding RNA of Mugil cephalus (flathead mullet), 2357 nucleotides long. RefSeq lists it as uncharacterized. NCBI's taxonomy places the organism in Eukaryota, Metazoa, Chordata, Actinopteri, Mugiliformes, Mugilidae. The transcript has 4 exons. The record is from RefSeq and is a predicted model, not a curated record.
AUUCACCUUUACCUUGGAUCCACCUGCAAGAGCCGCUGUAUUUGAGCUGCGAAGACUUCUGAGGCUGCAGCACAGGUCUCAGUCUCAGUCCUGGUGAGCAACGCGGAAAAGGAGACAUUGGACAAAGAAGAAUAUCUGCGAGACAUAAAGGAGCAGAGCUGACGAAAACACCCACAGGCCACCACCUGAGAGAUCACAGAACGGACUUCACCCUGAAGGUAUGGAAGAGCUUCUCAUCACUCUCUUUCUGUCUCAUCACCGUGUUGACUGGCACGCCUGAGGACACGAGACAGCUUGACACAGACACUGGCAGUUUCUCCCCCUGACCGACAAGUUGCCUUCUCAGUUGUGUGGCAGGUCUAAGUGUAUCUUCAGAGGUCGCGACCCUACCAGACUGUGAUCUGGACAAACAGGACUGAGGAGCUGCAACUGGACAUGGAAUGUUCCUUUUGUUUUGUUUUGUUUCACUUUUUUUUUGUUGAAAUGGUGGAAAAUUCCUCCCUCUGCACUUGCUGGGGCAAAAAGACAAAAGUUCUUGGCACAGAAUGAGUCAGAGUUUACAUGUGAAACACUGUGACUGUAACAAAAACUGUGAACGCUUAUGCAUAGCUGUGUUGUAAGUCAGGAUGCGUUAUUCUUUCCUUUGUCUUUGUGAUUGUAGUCUUUACCUGAAACUGAAAACGUGAUUUAUUUCAAGGUCUCUGCUUUUGUUGUGUGAACAACCAUGUUGAUGUCACCCACUUGUCUGUGUUAUCUGUGCAUUCCACAGAAUGUGUUUUUCACUAUGCACCUGGGACAAUGUGGAACCAGUAGUUUUGCUGCUUAAUAAAGAAAAAGCAAACAUGAAUGAUUAAGAAGGUGUCCGCUUGACCACAUUUACAGGGUGUCCGCUCUCCUUCUCCUCUGUGACGCCUCUGCGUGAGGCAGCAGCUGUAGCAGAUUUGGAGGCUCUGCUCUUGUGCGAAGCUGCAGCGCUCCUAGUGGUGAAAAUGCAGAACAGGUGCUACAUUUCUGACAAACCCACCAGACAAGAGGAGACAACUGCUGAUUGAGGGAACUUGUGCACAUAGGUGCUGCUUUGUGUUGCACUGCUUUGCUUUUGUGUGUUGUGUUUUUGCAAUGGCAGUGACACACGUGUUUGUUUGAUGGUGGUGGUGGUGGUGACGGGUGGGGGACUGUCUUGUCUCAUCACACAACAAUACAUGUUCCCGAAUGUGUGUAUGUGCAUCAGGGGAGAAUACUAUCCAAGGUACGGGGCAUUCGCUUUAAUAUCCGGGCUCCGGCUGUAUGUAUUUGACCCUUUUUUUUUAUGUAUGAAACAGUGUGCGUGAUUUGUAAAUGUCACUGGAAAUGGCAUGCCAACAGAGGUUCUGAAGAAGUGUUGUGUUGUGUGACAAUAAAGGACAUACAUAACUGAGAGGCGAGUCGGAAACAAACACAUGAGGGCCAAACAAACCUUGAAUUCUAUCAGGCUCGGGCUGCUUUUGCCUUUCAAGUGAGUUUGAAGGCAGGGAAAGUGGCAGAUAUCUGUUGGUAUCUGACGCCAACGUUGAAAUCUAAAAGUAAAGGCACUGAUUGAUUCAAUGUGCCAGUUUCACAUCAUAAUGUCUGCCAUUCAGAAGAUUUAUUUAUUUAUUUAUGUCCAUGUCAGAGGCAGGUGGUCCUAAUCUUAUGUGGUGGAUAGUGACUUGGGCAUAAAAAGCUAAAUGAACCUAUAUGGCGCACAUCGUGGCAGGGUAGUCGGGGCUGACUGGGUCUAUCCAGACUCUCCACGGUUCCUGCAUUAUAGAGUUCACCAGCGGGUCAAAAGUGUCACCACAUACAUCACAGCUGUAGCAGAACGGCACACACAGUUGCCAUGGUGAUCAGCCAUUUUUUUUUUCCCCCCGCUGUGCUAAGCCAAACAUUAGUGGGUGGGUGCCAAGAUACGAGAAAAAGACAAAACGGAUUGUGUGCCCGGUCCUAUGUAUGCUUAAAACGUGUUGCAAGUUUGUUUAUUUGGCCAGGCGUGUUUUUGGUUGCUGUUUGCGUGUGCCCCCCUUGUUUGACUGGACUAUCUGUGGUCUCAGCUGCACUCAUCGGGAACGCUGUCCAACAAUAGCUAAGGUACCCGCGGUGGGAGCUGCGCUGCGUGAUAAACCAGGCGAAAUGGCGGUGUCAGAAGCUCCAUUGAGCAUAAUCAGGGUGUGCUAGAUGGGCUCGGCUGUUGGGUUUAGGACCAUAAGUCUGGCGAUUAAACAUGCAUGGGGAGAAUCCUUCAUCACGGGGCGAAACAAAGCCGCCCUGCCCUUCCCACGUGUUCCGACAUCGCCAUGGAAAAAGCCUGUUUCCCUGGCAACCAAACUGGCUCUCUUUGU